GAUGAACGCUAGCGAUAGGCUUAACACAUGCAAGUCGAGGGGCAGCACAAGGUAGCUUGCUAUCUGGGUGGCGACCGGCGCACGGGUGCGUAACGCGUAUGCAACUUGCCCUAUACAGGAGGAUAACCCGUCGAAAGACGGACUAAUACUGCGUAUGCUCACAACUUGGCAUCAAGUGGUGAGGAAAGAAAUUCGGUAUAGGAUAGGCAUGCGUCCCAUUAGCUUGUUGGUGAGGUAACGGCUCACCAAGGCAACGAUGGGUAGGGGAACUGAGAGGUUUAUCCCCCACACUGGUACUGAGACACGGACCAGACUCCUACGGGAGGCAGCAGUGAGGAAUAUUGGUCAAUGGGUGCGAGCCUGAACCAGCCAAGUCGCGUGAAGGAUGACUGUCUUAUGGAUUGUAAACUUCUUUUAUACGGGAAUAACAAGAGUCACGUGUGACUCCCUGCAUGUACCGUAUGAAUAAGCAUCGGCUAACUCCGUG
RNAcentral lists this ribosomal RNA (487 nucleotides) under uncultured bacterium. RNAcentral's name for it is "partial 16S ribosomal RNA". It matches the Rfam family "Bacterial small subunit ribosomal RNA", at positions 28 to 507 of the family's 1533-position model. The record is from RNAcentral.